Molecule: long non-coding RNA, 276 nt
Organism: Vombatus ursinus (common wombat)
Lineage: Eukaryota; Metazoa; Chordata; Mammalia; Diprotodontia; Vombatidae
Exons: 2
Source: RefSeq, a predicted model, not a curated record
AGGUUCUGAAGAGGACAAGCAGAAUGAUGACAGACUUGAAUCCAUAUCAUGUGAGGAUCGACUGAAGCAAGGAGGGCUUUAUCUUAAAGAAAAGAGGGUGCUUAGAGGGCACAUGACCUCGAUGGAAGAGACAACAGGGAUCAAGGUGCAUCCUGAACACUCUUGGAAGACAACAGGACAAAAACCAUGACUGAACAAGAGUCUCUGGAGAUUAGCCCCCCAUAUUGGCAAAGGAAGAGAAAUAAAAGGGCCUGUAAAACAGUCCACUUAAUCACA